CCUACGGGAGGCAGCAGUGAGGAAUAUUGGUCAAUGGGCGGAAGCCUGAACCAGCCAAGUAGCGUGCGGGAUGAAGGCCCUACGGGUCGUAAACCGCUUUUUCACGGGGAUAACACCAUCCACUUGAGGAUGUCUGCAGGUACCGUGCGAAUAAGGGCCGGCUAAUUCCGUGCCAGCAGCCGCGGUACUACGGAAGGCCCGAGCGUUAUCCGGAUUCAUUGGGCUUAAAGGGAGCGUAGGCGGGCGUUAAAGUCAGCUGUAAAAUCGCGCGGCUCAACCGCGCCCCGCAGUUGAAACUGGACGCCUUGAGUUCACAACAGGCAGGCGGAAUUCGUGGUGUAGCGGUGAAAUGCAUAGAUAUCACGAGGAACCCCGAUUGCGAAGGCAGCCUGCCGGGGUGCGACUGACGCUGAGGCUCGAAGGUGCGGGUAUCAAACAGGAUUAGAUACCCCAGUAGUC
Molecule: ribosomal RNA, 459 nt
Filed under: uncultured bacterium
Lineage: Bacteria
Description: partial 16S ribosomal RNA
Rfam family: Bacterial small subunit ribosomal RNA
Source: RNAcentral